UAAUGGACUUGCUGGCUUUAAUGUAAAAAGCCUGUUGUGUAACUUUAAUGAGGCAGUUGGACUAAAACAGUAUUGCUCAUCAAGGUAAACAUCUGAGGAAUAAGGAAAUUGUUACUUGUCCUUUUACUCAGUGUUCUUUUAAUCGCACGUUUACUAAAGUUUUACAUCACAUAAGUCAUUUUCACAAUCAUUCUACUUUAAAAGAUUUCAAGACAGAGCUUAUUGUUCUCUGAACUUCCUUGUUCGCUGAACGGCAGGUUGAAGCAGAAUUUGCCCGUCUUACAUCUGUUGACCUGAAAGGGUUCCUUUUUGCUGUGCUUGACCAUUAUGGAGAGGUUCGUGGAGCUGUACAAAAUCAAGAGUGGCAUAGGAGGGCUAACUAGGCUCAUAAGAUGCUUCGGAGAUGAUAGCCCUACACAAAGGAAGAGGACAGAGGACCUAAUUUUCUAAAGGAAGAUCCCUCACACACUUUCAAGACUGUGAAGCCGACAGGUAUUGAAGACACGUUUUCUAAGAGGAUGAAAGUUGGCAUUGCGAUGGUGAAAGAAGAAGACAUCAUCGAUGUGUUGGUUGUCCUUGAGGUGGCAGUAAUCCUGUCUAAUCUGAGGGAUGUCUCAAGUGCCAUUUCCAUGCUGAUGGGCCUUCUUUUUGCCCUCAACAUAGACUAUCCAAAGGAACUUAAGGACAUCUUUGAAGUCAUUCAGAACAUCCUAAUGAACAUUGGUGGAAGGCAGUGUGUCUCACUAGUGCAUGGUCUAAGAAACAGACUCUUGCAGAAAGCCAUGCAGAACUGUAAUUGUAUGUUCCUUAGUGUUAAGGACAGUUUUUAUUUUACUGUUUGUUUUUUUAUUCUUGCAUGUUCUCAUUCUCACUUUUGUAUGUCACUAAAUGACUACACUUUACAUUCCAGAUUAGACAAUUACUCAUUUGUUCAUGGUUUAAGAAACUUAUGUGAACAACAAUAUAAUGCUGAACUUUGCAGAUGCUUAUCUCAUGCAAGUCAGUAGUUUUUCCUUUGUUUUGCAAUUGAGCAGACUCAAACUGAUGUUUCUGAAAUAUCCAUAUUAUCAAAUGUUUCAGAAGCAUGCACUCAUUUUCAGAGAUAUUGGUUCUGUGGAAUUUGUUGCAAUUGUAAACGAAGACAAAUACAAGAGUUUGAUGUCUUACUUGUUAUAAACUGA
Molecule: long non-coding RNA, 1181 nt
Organism: Oreochromis aureus
Lineage: Eukaryota; Metazoa; Chordata; Actinopteri; Cichliformes; Cichlidae
Source: Ensembl